Molecule: ribosomal RNA, 253 nt
Filed under: uncultured bacterium
Lineage: Bacteria
Description: partial 16S ribosomal RNA
Rfam family: Bacterial small subunit ribosomal RNA
Source: RNAcentral
UACGGAGGGUGCAAGCGUUGUCCGGAUUUACUGGGCGUAAAGCGUGCGCAGGCGGUUUUGUAAGUCUGACGUGAAAUCCCCGGGCUCAACCUGGGAAUUGCGUUGGAGACUGCAAGGCUAGAAUCUGGCAGAGGGGGGUAGAAUUCCACGUGUAGCAGUGAAAUGCGUAGAGAUGUGGAGGAACACCGAUGGCGAAGGCAGCCCCCUGGGUCAAGAUUGACGCUCAUGCACGAAAGCGUGGGGAGCAAACAGG